UACGGAGGAUCCAAGCGUUAUCCGGAAUCAUUGGGUUUAAAGGGUCCGUAGGCGGUUUAAUAAGUCAGUGGUGAAAGCCCAUCGCUCAACGGUGGAACGGCCAUUGAUACUGUUAAACUUGAAUUAUUAGGAAGUAACUAGAAUAUGUAGUGUAGCGGUGAAAUGCUUAGAGAUUACAUGGAAUACCAAUUGCGAAGGCAGGUUACUACUAAUUGAUUGACGCUGAUGGACGAAAGCGUGGGUAGCGAACAGG
Molecule: ribosomal RNA, 253 nt
Filed under: uncultured bacterium
Lineage: Bacteria
Description: partial 16S ribosomal RNA
Rfam family: Bacterial small subunit ribosomal RNA
Source: RNAcentral